This 358-nucleotide ribosomal RNA is filed under the name Paracoccus sp. oral taxon H67. Its description in RNAcentral is "bacterial SSU rRNA". It matches the Rfam family "Bacterial small subunit ribosomal RNA", at positions 30 to 416 of the family's 1533-position model. The record is from RNAcentral. Lineage: Bacteria; Pseudomonadati; Pseudomonadota; Alphaproteobacteria; Rhodobacterales; Paracoccaceae.
CGAACGCUGGCGGCAGGCUUAACACAUGCAAGUCGAGCGAGAUCUUCGGAUCUAGCGGCGGACGGGUGAGUAACGCGUGGGAACGUGCCCUUUGCUACGGAAUAGUCCCGGGAAACUGGGUUUAAUACCGUAUACGCCCUUCGGGGGAAAGAUUUAUCGGCAAAGGAUCGGCCCGCGUUGGAUUAGGUAGUUGGUGGGGUAAUGGCCUACCAAGCCGACGAUCCAUAGCUGGUUUGAGAGGAUGAUCAGCCACACUGGGACUGAGACACGGCCCAGACUCCUACGGGAGGCAGCAGUGGGGAAUCUUAGACAAUGGGGGCAACCCUGAUCUAGCCAUGCCGCGUGAGUGAUGAAGGCC